GCGUAAGCUCAUGACGAGCUGAGCAGCCAUGCCGCGUGUGUGAGAAGGUCUUCGGAUUGUAAAGCUCUUUUAGUUGGGAGGAAGGGCAUUGAACUAAUACGUUGCUGUUUUGACGUUACCGACAGAAUAAGCACCGGCUAACUUUGUGCCAGCAGCCGCGGAAAUAGCAAAUUGACCCCCCUCCCGGAGGGAGCUGCUCUGCGCGUGGUGGUGAGGGGUGGAGACUCCGCUGCUUUCCUCAGUUGCCGAUGUCUGCUCUGCUGUGUCUUCUCGUGGUGCUGGAAGACUCGAAGGCUUCGUCCCCC
Molecule: ribosomal RNA, 305 nt
Filed under: uncultured soil bacterium
Lineage: Bacteria
Description: partial 16S ribosomal RNA
Rfam family: Bacterial small subunit ribosomal RNA (bases 1-177)
Source: RNAcentral